UUUUUUUUUUUUUUUCCCCCAUGUCUCAAUUUCUAUUGGUUAUAUAGUUGACAUAAGCAUAGUAUAACAUAGUGCAUCAGUAUUCAAAUAUCAGCUAGCACUUAUCAUCGCCAACAGAUUCCGUAGCGCUUUACAAUAUUACUUGUCAACAUAUUCUUCCUCUAGUGCUCUGUGAAACCCCAACAUCAACUUAUACAUUUGUGUGAGUUUUUGUGGUCAUUCAUUGCAUUGUUAUCCCAAUUUCUUAGUUCACAUGUAAGUUAUUAAUUUCUUUUUAUGGUUAGUCUUUCUUUUAAACAUCACUGAUCUAUUGUAACUAAAUACAGAAUGCCAAUCCUUUGAUCUAAGUAACGAUCAUAGGCAUUAUUGUUGAAUAAUAAUUAGGGUGCUGCAGCUCCGGUUUGUAUAUGCCAAUUACACCUCUCUGUAUUUGCCAAGACAGAUUUAGGAAGAGGCAAUUCUGAAUACAUUUUGGGUGUAGUUCACAAACAAGCAGGUUUAUUCACUAAACUUCAAAUGAAAGCAAAUUAAAAUCCAAAUGGCAACAUUUAGAAAAAUAUUUGGAGAUAUUAGUGGUAAACUGCCAAGAAUUCCAAGUGGAAAAAAAAAGAUAAAGCUGUACUUUAUACUGAUGCAUUAUAAAGGCAAUAAAAAUACUGCAAAAAAAAAAAAAGUGUCCCUAAGUGGGUUUUCUAUAUCAAGCAGAGAUUCACCAAUCAUGAAACUCUCAUUCUAGUCAAACAGAUGUUACAAAGUAUAUCCCUAACCUGCACUUUCUGUCAUUACACAGGAUGCCUAAGGAUCGUAUUGAACAGUUGUUAUGGGCAAAUGCAAAUAUUACAAGUUUUAGAAUGAAAUGUUGUAUUUCUUAAACUGUGUACUUUGUCUUUAAGAGAUAUUGCAAACUGACAAGGUGUUAGAAAUGGAACAUAUUGAACAUAUAUAUUUUUCAUAACGGUUUCUUUAAGUAAUAACCUCAUUGCAUAAUAUCUUUGCGCCAUUCUGUCCCAGACGAAUUACAAUAACAAUAAUGCAUAAACAAGCUUCAAGGCUAUGCUACGACUCUUUCAGUACACAAUAUACCGUGGUAACCUUAAGUAGAUAAGGAUGUCCAGACUUUAAGAUGCCAUCUUGAACCAAGUCAGGAAAAUUUCCAUGACGUAUACACCCUUUAGUUAUGGCCUUGUAUGUUUGCCAAAUUAAGGUCCUAAAAUGAAUAAAGUAAAAGAAGUGUUACUUUUUCAUAUAUGAACUACGGUAACCCUAAAAUGGAGACACCUAAGGUAUAAAUAGGUGUACUUUUAAAUGUAC
Molecule: non-coding RNA, 1311 nt
Organism: Pelobates cultripes (western spadefoot toad)
Lineage: Eukaryota; Metazoa; Chordata; Amphibia; Anura; Pelobatidae
Source: the annotation of a GenBank genome assembly